RNAcentral lists this ribosomal RNA (492 nucleotides) under uncultured bacterium. RNAcentral's name for it is "partial 16S ribosomal RNA". It matches the Rfam family "Bacterial small subunit ribosomal RNA", at positions 29 to 507 of the family's 1533-position model. The record is from RNAcentral.
AGUGAACGCUGGCGGUAGGCCUAACACAUGCAAGUCGAACGGCAGCACAGUAAGAGCUUGCUCUUACGGGUGGCGAGUGGCGGACGGGUGCGUUAUACAUCGGAAUCUACUUUUUCGUGGGGGAUAACGUAGGGAAACUUACGCUAAUACCGCAUACGACCUACGGGUGAAAGCAGGGGAUCUUCGGACCUUGCGCGAUUGAAUGAGCCGAUGUCGGAUUAGCUCGUUGGCGGGGUAAAGGCCCACCAAGGCGACGAUCCGUAGCUGGUCUGAGCGGAUGAAUAGCCACACUGGAACUGAGACACGGUCCAGACUCCUGCGGGAGGAAGCAGUGGGGAAUAUUGGACAAUGGGCGCAAGCCUGAUCCAGCCAUACCGGGUGGGUGAAGAAGGCCUUCGGGUUGUAAAGCCCUGUUGUUGGGAAAGAAAAGCAGCAGGUUAAUACCCCGCUGUUCUGACGGUACCCAAAGAAUAAGCACCGGCUAACUUCGUG